AGCGGCAGACGGGUGAGUAACGCGUGGGAACGUACCUUUUGGUUCGGUACAACACAGGGAAACUUGUGCUAAUACCGGAUAAGCCCUUUCGGGAAAAAAUUUUUCGCCAAAAAAUCGGCCCGCGUCUGAUUAGCUAGUUGGUGAGGUAACGGCUCACCAAGGCGACGAUCAGUAGCUGGUCUGAGAGGAUGAUCAGCCACAUUGGGACUGAGACACGGCCCAAACUCCUACGGGAGGCAGCAGUGGGGAAUAUUGGACAAUGGGCGCAAGCCUGAUCCAGCCAUGCCGCGUGAGUGAUGAAGGCCCUAGGGUUGUAAAGCUCUUUUGUGCGGGAAGAUAAUGACGGUACCGCAAGAAUAAGCCCCGGCUAACUUCGUGCCAGCAGCCGCGGUAAUACGAAGGGGGCUAGCGUUGCUCGGAAUCACUGGGCGUAAAGGGUGCGUAGGCGGGUCUUUAAGUCAGGGGUGAAAUCCUGGAGCUCAACUCCAGAACUGCCUUUGA
RNAcentral lists this ribosomal RNA (501 nucleotides) under uncultured bacterium. RNAcentral describes it as "bacterial SSU rRNA". It matches the Rfam family "Bacterial small subunit ribosomal RNA", at positions 94 to 630 of the family's 1533-position model. The record is from RNAcentral.